Phasianus colchicus (ring-necked pheasant) is the source of this 1609-nucleotide long non-coding RNA. NCBI's taxonomy places the organism in Eukaryota, Metazoa, Chordata, Aves, Galliformes, Phasianidae. The record is from Ensembl.
CAAGCAGAAGGCUCAGGUAGUCCCAUCAAUGGGACUUGGCUUAGGGUUUAAAUGUGGAACAACCAGAAAAGUGCAUCACAUUUUUUUCCUUCUGUUAAUAGGCACUCCUGCUGUAAUAUAAAAAUAGUUAACUGAAGCAAGGUAUCACAGAACCUGAUGUGAUAAAGCACACUGACAGAAAAUAAAGAAUGGAAUAUGCGAUGAACACUGACCUAACAAAUAAAAAAAGAAAAAAAAAAAAAAAAAAGAGGGGAAAUAAUGAAUAGUGCAAAGCAGUGAGGGAGCGCUGAGAGCCAGGAAUGGGAAGCUGGUGACAGAUGAGGCUGAUAAGGCAGACGGCCUAAAGGAAUUCUUCGCCCCAGUAAUCACAGAAGCAGCAGAAGGUAAUGUCCCAGGAACUGGGAUUUGUUUUCCUCAGGGAAGGAAGUAAAAUGUCAAAAGGUUUUACUCUUGCAGUGGAGUGGAUAAUAAGGCAAUUAGUACUCUUAAAAGUCGUCAGAACACCCAGACUGCAAUGAUAAAUCACAUCCUGUGAUGGGAGCAGGAGUCUGUUGGAAAGCUUUUGUGGAGCCGUUGUGGUCACCUACCAUGGAUGGGAUUACUGAGGGCACAUGAGUGCUCUGUGAAGUUUGCACUGAAAACCAAGGAGGAGCACUGGAGUACGGCAGCUAUAGGUUUGAUUCCCAGUGAAUUUACCUGCCAAUAUCCUCUGAAUUCAUUGAAGUCUGCUGCCUUCAAGUCCUCUGCCUCCAGCUGUGUGCUUUCCUUCCUUCACUCAUUGAGGCACAGGAAUCCUUAAGUCUUUCAUGGACUCUGUCCUCCCCUCUACACUCAGCAGAGGUUCCCCUCUCUUGUUUGGAGCCAAUUCUGGAAAUGCUGCAUGACAAAAUGCCAGUGUCACAUGCACCAAGCAGGCUGUGCCUUGGUUUAUCAUUUUCUUCAAAACUGUUGGAGUAGUUAAAGACCCCAAAAUCAGUAAGCCAGGUUGUUUAAAUUCAUUCUGCUAGCUGCUCACAAAAGGGCAUCAUCUCUCUGAGUUUCUUUCUUAGGGGAGAGGAGAUGAGUGUAAUGGAUGUAAUUUUUACUGUAUUAUUUCCUGCUGCUAUUUAGGGAUUGGCAUUCUGUAAGAAUGAAUAUAUCUGUUUUUCCCUCGUCAGUUUGUAUUUCUCCAGUUUGCUGCUUCCCAUUGCUUUUUCCCAUGCAGAGCAUCCUAACAGGAGGGAGAGUAGUGCUUGUAGGCAUUCCACCUUCACUGCUGUGAGAUGUGAGAAUCCCCAGGAGAAGCACCUCUCCACAUGCACCCUGAAGGGAGCUCCCUUCACUCUUCCAAAAAAGUCAAACUACAUAAAUCAGGCAGUAAGAUUUUGCCCAACCAAGCAGCCAUAAUUUGACUAACAAGGUUACUUUAUUCCCUGUGUCUUUAAUAGGCAGCUCUUUUUCUCCAUGCAGACAGCUUAAAAUGUGGAACCAAGACCAUGCUGGAUCACUAAGUUCAGUCUGAUGAUUUAAUUUUGUCAUCUUCGUUAUGAAUUCAAGAAUCUGAAAAAGAAACAACAUAGCUACAUUAAAUAUCAAUAAAAUGGCGUGCAAUACAAAGAUUAACUUAUUC